RNAcentral lists this long non-coding RNA (1550 nucleotides) under Callithrix jacchus (white-tufted-ear marmoset). RNAcentral describes it as "lncRNA (ENSCJAG00000073374.1)". The record is from RNAcentral. Lineage: Eukaryota; Metazoa; Chordata; Mammalia; Primates; Cebidae.
CUGCUGCAUGGUUACUGUACACCGCACAGCUGUUUUUCUCUAUAGCAUGUUUGGUUGAAUAAUUUCACAUUUAAAAAUUAGGAAAUUUCAUGUAGUAACCUGGCUUUUUCUGGAAAUUUGUGAGAUUCAGCAAUCCCGGUUCUACUUCCUCCACAGCAGGAAUCUUCCGGAGGUGAGUGACUGACCCACAGCAAGUACUCACCGGCUUAUCCCACACGCCCACCAUCGCCCUUUUCUGACCUUGCUCCACUUCGUUCACGUGACACGCUUCUUCAAGCAGCCAGUGGAAAGUGCACUACAUGAUUCACGUGCAUCAGGGAGCAGUAUUUAUCGCCUCUUCUUUCCCUGGCCCUAAGGAGCACACGGCCCUGGCUGCCAUCUACACUUGCUCCACAUCCACCUCCUUGUUUCCCGAGGCGCUUCCUCCCAUCUACAGUGGCUCCUAUUACGACUCAUUUGGGAUCUGACUCUAGAUGAUUUUGCAGAGCACGUGUGUGAGCAACCUCGAGAACAAACGAGUGGGAGGAGAUGCUGUGUCAACUGCAGGGAAAGGAAAUGCCGUGGAAAUUAGUCACAAGUGAUGGCUACUCAAACUUUGACUGCUGAAAAAAGGGCCAUCGACUGAGAGAAGCAGAGAGGCGGAGAAUAUUGAUUAGAAUCCUUUAUUAAAAUCAUAUUUUCAUCAGGACGAAGUAUACAUAGAAACAUCACAUAAUCUCUGACAUCUUGUCAGGCUGGGAAAUCAAAAUUUACCUGCUCUCAAAGUAUUUCACUUCUGUGUGUCUUUUUGAUACAUUCCGUCUAGAAUGUACAUGUCUUGAAAUAGAGAUUUCAGGGAGUGAACAAGCAGAAUGAUUGAUUAGCUCAGAUUAUUAAGGGGUGGAUUUCAGGCAACUUGGAUAAUAUUUUUUGAAGAUUACUUUUAUUUAAAUGUAGAUCUACAAUAGCAAUGUGAACUGGAAUAAUAGGAUAACUUAAUUUAGCAUAUUUUAAAAAUCUAACAUAUCUAUCUUUUACAUGAAUGUUUUUUCCAGUGUCGCAAAUUAAUUUUUUAUUUGUGAGUAUAGUGUAACACACUGGAACACUGUAGUUAAGACUUUGAGGCUUUGCCAACUCAAAUUCCCUGGAUUUUUAUUUUUCAUUAUUUGUAUUUUAGGUUUGGGGGUACAUGUGAUGGCUUGUUACAUAGAUAACCGUGUGUCAUGGGGGUCUGUUGUACAUAUUAUUACACCACCCAGGUAUUAAGCCCAGUGCCCAGUAGCUACCUUUUCUGCUCCUCUCCCUCCUCCCACUCUCCCUCCUCCCACUCUCCCUCCUCAGGUAGACCCCAGUGUCUAUUGUUUCAUUUUUUGUGUUCAUAAGUUCUUAUCAUUUAGUUCCCAUUUAUAACAUGAGAACAUAUGGUAUUUCGUUUUCAUUUUCUUUUUCUUUUUUUUUUAAUCUGUCACCUAGGCUGGAGUGCAGUGGUGUGAUCUCAGCUCACUGCAACCUCCGCCUUCCAGGUUCAGAUGAUUUUCCUGCCUCAGCCUCCCAAGUAGCUUAGAUUAGAG